This 507-nucleotide ribosomal RNA is filed under the name uncultured fungus. RNAcentral describes it as "SSU rRNA". It matches the Rfam family "Eukaryotic small subunit ribosomal RNA", at positions 569 to 1078 of the family's 1831-position model. Lineage: Eukaryota; Fungi. The record is from RNAcentral.
AGCAGCCGCGGUAAUUCCAGCUCCAAUAGCGUAUAUUAAAGUUGCUGCAGUUAAAAAGCUCGUAGUUGAAUUUCGGGACCAUCAUGUCGGUCGUGCCUCGGUACGUACUGGCAUCGUCGGUUUCUCCCUUCUGACGAACCAUGAUGUCAUUUAUUUGGUGUUGUGGGGAAUCAGGACUGUUACUUUGAAAAAAUUAGAGUGUUUAAAGCAGGCUCACGCUUGAAUACAUUAGCAUGGAAUAAUGAAAUAGGACGUUUGAUUCUAUUUUGUUGGUUUCUAGGAUCGACGUAAUGAUUAAUAGGGAUAGUUGGGGGCAUUAGUAUUCAAUUGUCAGAGGUGAAAUUCUUGGAUUUAUUGAAGACUAACCACUGCGAAAGCAUUUGCCAAGGAUGUUUUCAUUAAUCAAGAACGAAAGUUAGGGGAUCGAAGACGAUCAGAUACCGUCGUAGUCUUAACCAUAAACUAUGCCGACUAGGGAUCGGAUGAUGUUAAUUUUUUAAUGACUCA